Long non-coding RNA from Gorilla gorilla gorilla (western lowland gorilla), 492 nucleotides. RefSeq lists it as uncharacterized. The record is from RefSeq and is a predicted model, not a curated record. Lineage: Eukaryota; Metazoa; Chordata; Mammalia; Primates; Hominidae. The transcript has 3 exons.
UCUGCGAAAUGGAUGCAGGAGGCACGCAGAGAAGAGUUGACGUUGGUGAGGUGCUGAAGGAGGCGGGGCCGCAGGGGCAGGGGGCGAGCCCUCCUUCAGCCCUCCCCCUAAGGGACAGGAGCUUUGUAGAGGAGGGCCAAGAGGUCAGUGCUACAGUAACGGAACCUUUGGUCCAGAGCCUGGGAUGUUGCCUUUUGCCCACUGGAAUUCCCAUCUUGGAAGAGUAAGCACAGGGGAUUGUCCAGACAGCCAGGAGGCCAGCGAAGCCAAGUCCUUCAGUACAGUCUGGGAGCCUCCAGGAAGCUUUUAGGAGUUGCCAUGAUGGGUGCAUUUGGACUCACAGAAUCUGCCUUCCAAUCUCAGUGCUGCUUCUACUCCUUUGCUACCUUAGAAUCUUAGGUCUUUGAAGACAGGUCCAUACCUUGUGUGUUUGUAUUUGGACAACCACAGACAUUGCCAAGAAAUGUAUCUGUUCUACUUGCACACCUUCAC